RNAcentral lists this ribosomal RNA (520 nucleotides) under uncultured bacterium. RNAcentral describes it as "bacterial SSU rRNA". It matches the Rfam family "Bacterial small subunit ribosomal RNA", at positions 120 to 674 of the family's 1533-position model. The record is from RNAcentral.
GGGAAUCUGCCCUUUGGUUCGGAAUAACAGUUGGAAACGACUGCUAAUACCGGAUGAUGACGUAAGUCCAAAGAUUUAUCGCCAGAGGAUGAGCCCGCGUAGGAUUAGCUAGUUGGUGUGGUAAGAGCGCACCAAGGCGACGAUCCUUAGCUGGUCUGAGAGGAUGAUCAGCCACACUGGGACUGAGACACGGCCCAGACUCCUACGGGAGGCAGCAGUGGGGAAUAUUGGACAAUGGGCGAAAGCCUGAUCCAGCAAUGCCGCGUGAGUGAUGAAGGCCUUAGGGUUGUAAAGCUCUUUUACCCGGGAUGAUAAUGACAGUACCGGGAGAAUAAGCUCCGGCUAACUCCGUGCCAGCAGCCGCGGUAAUACGGAGGGAGCUAGCGUUGUUCGGAAUUACUGGGCGUAAAGCGCACGUAGGCGGCUUUGUAAGUUAGAGGUGAAAGCCUGGAGCUCAACUCCAGAAUUGCCUUUAAGACUGCAUCGCUUGAAUCCAGGAGAGGUGAGUGGAAUUCCGAGU